GACGAACGCUGGCGGCAUGCCUAACACAUGCAAGUCGAACGAGACCUUCGGGUCUAGUGGCGCACGGGUGCGUAACGCGUGGGAACCUGCCCUUAGGUUCGGAAUAACUCCCCGAAAGGGGUGCUAAUACCGGAUAAUGUCUUCGGACCAAAGAUUUAUCGCCUUUGGAUGGGCCCGCGUUGGAUUAGCUAGUUGGUAGGGUAAAAGCCUACCAAGGCGACGAUCCAUAGCUGGUCUGAGAGGAUGAUCAGCCACACUGGGACUGAGACACGGCCCAGACUCCUACGGGAGGCAGCAGUGGGGAAUAUUGGACAAUGAGCGAAAGCCUGAUCCAGCAAUGCCGCGUGAGUGAGGAAGGCCUUAGGGUUGUAAAGCUCUUUUACCCGGGAUGAUAAUGACAGUACCGGGAGAAUAGGCUCCGGCUAACUCCGUG
RNAcentral lists this ribosomal RNA (433 nucleotides) under uncultured bacterium. RNAcentral describes it as "partial 16S ribosomal RNA". It matches the Rfam family "Bacterial small subunit ribosomal RNA", at positions 28 to 507 of the family's 1533-position model. The record is from RNAcentral.